GUCGAGCGGACAGAUGGGAGCUUGCUCCCUGAUGUUAGCGGCGGACGGGUGAGUAACACGUGGGUAACCUGCCUGUAAGACUGGGAUAACUCCGGGAAACCGGGGCUAAUACCGGAUGCUUGUUUGAACCGCAUGGUUCAAACAUAAAAGGUGGCUUCGGCUACCACUUACAGAUGGACCCGCGGCGCAUUAGCUAGUUGGUGAGGUAACGGCUCACCAAGGCGACGAUGCGUAGCCGACCUGAGAGGGUGAUCGGCCACACUGGGACUGAGACACGGCCCAGACUCCUACGGGAGGCAGCAGUAGGGAAUCUUCCGCAAUGGACGAAAGUCUGACGGAGCAACGCCGCGUGAGUGAUGAAGGUUUUCGGAUCGUAAAGCUCUGUUGUUAGGGAAGAACAAGUGCCGUUCAAAUAGGGCGGCACCUUGACGGUACCUAACCAGAAAGCCACGGCUAACUACGUGCCAGCAGCCGCGGUAAUACGUAGGUGGCAAGCGUUGUCCGGAAUUAUUGGGCGUAAAGGGCUCGCAGGCGGUUUCUUAAGUCUGAUGUGAAAGCCCCCGGCUCAACCGGGGAGGGUCAUUGGAAACUGGGGAACUUGAGUGCAGAAGAGGAGAGUGGAAUUCCACGUGUAGCGGUGAAAUGCGUAGAGAUGUGGAGGAACACCAGUGGCGAAGGCGACUCUCUGGUCUGUAACUGACGCUGAGGAGCGAAAGCGUGGGGAGCGAACAGGAUUAGAUACCCUGGUAGUCCACGCCGUAAACGAUGAGUGCUAAGUGUUAGGGGGGUUUCCGCCCCUUAGUGCUGCAGCUAACGCAUUAAGCACUCCGCCUGGGGAGUACGGUCGCAAGACUGAAACUCAAAAGGAAUUGACGGGGGCCCGCACAAGCGGUGGAGCAUGUGGUUUAAUUCGAAGCACGCGAAGAACCUUACCAGUCUUGACAUCCUCUGACAUUCCUAGAGAUAGACGUCCCCUUCGGGGG
RNAcentral lists this ribosomal RNA (983 nucleotides) under Bacillus amyloliquefaciens. RNAcentral describes it as "bacterial SSU rRNA". It matches the Rfam family "Bacterial small subunit ribosomal RNA", at positions 61 to 1026 of the family's 1533-position model. The record is from RNAcentral. Lineage: Bacteria; Bacillati; Bacillota; Bacilli; Caryophanales; Bacillaceae.